GACGAACGCUGGCGGCGUGCUUAACACAUGCAAGUCGAACGGUGAAGCGCCUUCCUUUUUGGUUGGUGUGGAUGAGUGGCGAACGGGUGAGUAACACGUGAGUAACCUGCCCCCUUCUUCUGGAUAACCGCAUGAAAGUGUGGCUAAUACGGGAUAUUCUGGGUCUGUCGCAUGAUGGGUCUGGGAAAGAUAUUGUUUCGGUGGGGGAUGGGCUCGCGGCCUAUCAGCUUGUUGGUGGGGUGAUGGCCUACCAGGGCGGUGACGGGUAGCCGGCCUGAGAGGGUGGACGGCCUGACUGGGACGGAGACACGGCCCAGACUCCUACGGGAGGCAGCAGUGGGGAAUAUUGCACAAUGGGCGCAAGCCUGAUGCGGCGACGCCGCGGGAGGGAUGGAGGCCUUCGGGUUGUGAACCUCUUUCGCCAGUGAAGCAGGCCUGCCUCGUUUGUGGGUGGGUUGACGGUAGCUGGAUAAGAAGCGCCGGCUAACUACGUG
RNAcentral lists this ribosomal RNA (494 nucleotides) under uncultured bacterium. Its description in RNAcentral is "partial 16S ribosomal RNA". It matches the Rfam family "Bacterial small subunit ribosomal RNA", at positions 28 to 507 of the family's 1533-position model. The record is from RNAcentral.